Molecule: transfer-messenger RNA, 483 nt
Filed under: Tannerella forsythia KS16
Lineage: Bacteria; Pseudomonadati; Bacteroidota; Bacteroidia; Bacteroidales; Tannerellaceae
Rfam family: transfer-messenger RNA (bases 75-474)
About the family: Bacterial tmRNA, also known as 10Sa RNA or SsrA, is named for its dual tRNA and mRNA-like properties. Its role is to liberate the mRNA from a stalled ribosome. To accomplish this part of the tmRNA is used as a reading frame that ends in a translation stop signal.
Source: RNAcentral
UUGCUAAACGAUCCGAAGUGUCGGAUAUGGUUAAAUCAUAGAGGUGAUUUUCAAAUCAUUUACUUUUUAUAGAAGGGGCUGACCGGUUUUGACAGCGGGCAGAAGUGGUUUGUAAGCAUGCAGUGCGUCGUUGGCCGGCACUUUAAUCUCGGUUGAUCCAAUUUUAACUGGCGAAAAUAACUACGCUCUCGCUGCUUAAUCGAAGCACAGUAGAUUGAAGCUUAAUCCUUACACAAGGUGUUUGGACGAGACAUCACCCGGAAGCCGUGGCUUCGAGGCAAUCCGAACCGGUGGUGCAGAAAUGUCGGAGAUAGCUUGACGGAUGUCCCGUACGGCAAGUGAAAAUUCAGGGAAUAAGGUUGCGGUGGGUGGCUUCGGUCUUGCCGCAGCACGAAAAUGAAGGCGAAGAUAAGCAUGUAGAAAGCAAAUUAGUUCCUCGUUUGGACGAGAGUUCGAAUCUCUCCAGCUCCACAUUUCGGGCGA